RNAcentral lists this long non-coding RNA (1557 nucleotides) under Salmo salar (Atlantic salmon). Its description in RNAcentral is "lncRNA (ENSSSAG00000112546.1)". Lineage: Eukaryota; Metazoa; Chordata; Actinopteri; Salmoniformes; Salmonidae. The record is from RNAcentral.
CACACACACACACACACACAGUCUCCUUUAUCACACACACAGUCUCCUUUAUUUAUUAUAUUCAUUCCUCACAUAUUAGUCAACCCAGACAUUAAUUCACACCAACGGUUACAGUAUUAGUCAUUUGUUAUAGAUGAGUAAGAUGUGCAUCAAUGCCUACAGUAGAAGUAAAGUUGAAAAUUAAUUUAAAAUAAUAUAAGUUUAAUGUAAAAUGCUUUGUCUAGAGUAUUCAAUUAUAUACAGCAGACUGAUGAAUAAUACAGUAUCUCCAUUGAGGUUUCCAACCAGGGAUUUCCAAACCGUUUUGCUUUGUGACCCACAAAUGGAGGUGUCUUUUGAGUCUCAACCCACCAUAUGGGUUGGCAUAGAGAACAUUUUGUUUUAAAGCUAAUUUCCUGCCAUUCUACACAUUUGCCCUGGAGCUGAAAUAAAAUGUGACCGUUUUAAUGCAACAUUUCCUGCAAUUCUAUACAUUUUGCCAUGGAACUGAGAGCAAUUUUUGUCAUUUGUAAGCACAUUUCCUGCAAUUACCUGCAUUUUAACAAGGCUAAAGCUGUAUUCUCAUGCUAAAACAUUAUAACAAGAUCAAUGGGGGCCUGAUUAUCUAACUUUUAUUUUGUUGAGUGUAAGUUCUCAAAGUCCCCCACUAAAAUAACCAUCUACUUCACAGAUGUCAUUGAUAAGCGCUGAUAGCUAUAGCCUAGCAGUUAUACUGUAUACUACAUGCACAGAGUGGUUCACUGCUUUGGCAAUGUUUGAACGCUAGCUGUCAGCCACAAAUCACACGUUGCUAGCCCUGCACCAAGCUAUGAUUAUAUGUUUCAUGUUUUGGAUCUCAGUGUGUCACAGUAGGAAUGUGCAUCUGUACAUCUGUAAAAUUAGUGUGUGUGUGCGUGUGCGCACAUGCGUUUACCAGUCAUCUCUGACAAUCUACUGUGGAAUGUAAUAGGAAGAAUCCCAUUGAAAUUCUGACUCUUGGAGCUUCUCUUCCAGGUGAGCCUUUACCUCCUUCACCACUUGCUCUCGCAUUUUGCAAUCAACUGGUGGUACUACAUUCUUAACAAUCUCUUCCUCUCCAUAGAGUAGUUUGCUCAAGCUCUCUGCCUCUGCGCAGUUCCCAUAGGGCCACAUCUGAUUGCUUGGUUUCUCCAGACCAAAAAGAUUACCACAGGACCUGCAAGGAGGCAUCUUCUCCCCACUCUUCACAUUGGAAGCCUGGCACUUGACAUACUCUUGUAGUUUCAUGGUGCCAUCAAAGUUCUUUCUCUUGUUCUUAUCUGGCUUGUAUGUCAUCACGGCAUUGGAUACACCGUAGUGCCAGGUACACAGACAGGACACAGCUAUCAUAAUCUGUCCCUCUUUCUUCCCCGUGCAGGACAUGGACGCUCCAUAGUACCUCCCUCCACUUUCCGAGAUGCAGAUGGUUGAGGAGGUGAACCGGUGUUUCCCUGACAUGACAUUGGCGAUAUCCCGCAGUUUCUGCCAUAUUUCCAACUUUUUGUCUGGUCCAAACAAGGAGACCACCUGGGAGUUAAUGACAACAGACGUAAAACAAAA